AUCCAGCUUCAUUUACAGUAUUAGCACUAAAAUUCGGAAUAUCUUUAAUACAUUUUUUGUUCUACAUUGUGUUCCUAACAGCUUUACAUAAAAAAAGCCGAGGACUGCUAGAGUUUUUUAACUCUUAUAAUGUCAUCGUAUUGAUAGGCCUUAUUGUAACAAUUUCUCUUUACCUACCGAUGAAGGCAUAUAGCUUACAUUAUACAGUCGGAGUUUACGUAUUUCAAUAUAUUAUCCUGACUUUAAUAACACUAGGAUUUUCAAUAUUAUUCCAGCUGUACCUCAUAGUCGCUGUGCGAAGUCUUAUAUCAAAGCUGGAGGAUGACAAAGAUUGCUCAUCAGCCGUCUGCCAGUCCGAGGAUCCGGAAUGCAUUAUCCAUAUGUACAAGGAAAAAGAUUAUCUUGAUUGCUAGUUGAAAAUAUCAAUGUUAACGUUGUUACGUUAAAAUUCUAAAUACGCCAAAAAGUAAAUGUUUUCAAAAGUAUUACUUAUAUAAUUGUAAAUUUAUUA
This is a long non-coding RNA of Melitaea cinxia (Glanville fritillary), 511 nucleotides long. RefSeq lists it as uncharacterized. The transcript is spliced from 3 exons. The record is from RefSeq and is a predicted model, not a curated record. Lineage: Eukaryota; Metazoa; Arthropoda; Insecta; Lepidoptera; Nymphalidae.